ACACAACUCUGGAGAGUGUCACGAGAGUGACCACCCAAGGGGUAACUUUCUUCACGGCAAAGCUGCAAGUGGCAGUGGUCGCAAGUGGAAGGGAAACUCUCAGGUUAAAGGACAGAGCA
This 119-nucleotide non-coding RNA is filed under the name Numidum massiliense. Its description in RNAcentral is "Glycine riboswitch". It matches the Rfam family "Glycine riboswitch aptamer", at positions 9 to 86 of the family's 94-position model. Rfam says of the family: This family represents the bacterial glycine riboswitch. Glycine riboswitches usually consist of two metabolite-binding aptamers domains with similar structures in tandem. The record is from RNAcentral. Lineage: Bacteria; Bacillati; Bacillota; Bacilli; Caryophanales; Bacillaceae.